RNAcentral lists this long non-coding RNA (14381 nucleotides) under Lynx pardinus (Iberian lynx). The record is from RNAcentral. Lineage: Eukaryota; Metazoa; Chordata; Mammalia; Carnivora; Felidae.
CAUGUUCUUGGCAACCACCUUGGUAGUUUGACACAUAGUAGGGGCUUAGUAAAACUGAAUGCCUCCAGGCUAGGACACAGCUAUUAGCCACCUGGCUGCAAAGAAAAGACAGGAAGUGCACAUUGGAGACUGUUGGCAACAUAUUUAGAAGGCAAUCUACAACAAUCCCUUCUCUGCAAAGGGGUUAUUCAAAAGUCAGACCUCUGUUGGCGGUGAUAUCUACAAAAAGGGAAAUUAUCAAAGGACACAGAAAAAGCAUCAAAGUAAGCAUCCCAAGUGCAGAUGCGAGGUAUUGCUUAAAAAUCAAGAUCCCAAGUAGAAUUUUCGGAGAGGAUUCCUAUCCGUUUUGCAUUCCUAAUGCAUUUUACACUUUCAAAUUUUACAUCAAUGAAUGGUGGUGGGAACACAUAGAAGGUAUAGAGUUCUGUCGAUGUUAUUAAAAGGAAUGAGUCUAAAUUAGGAUUUAGUAGUGGCAUCUAAAUGAAGAAAAUAACACCCAAUAACAGAUUACUGUCUGAAAAAGGCAGAGUUAAUUAGCAUAGCAUAAUUUAAGAAAAAUAUAUUUUUUUUAAACAGAGCAGGGAGUCUAUAGAAUUUUGAAAGUGAAUUCGUAUUAAUAUCUUACAUUUGUCUCAUCUUAGGCAAGCUGUGAAAUUGUGGCCUACGCACCGAAUCAAGAGCUGGAAGAAAUCUUUGCACUUUCUACCUGGGGGGCUUUGGGAUCAAGCAGAUUCUUCUCUGAGCCCCAGUUUAUCUGUAAAAUGAGUAUAGCAGUACCUACCUCACUGGGAUGGAAAGAUGAGUAACUCCAACAAUAAUUUAUAAGUUCUAAAGCCGUGUAAACCUAAGGUACUGCUCUUUUGUCUCACUGCUAUUCUGAGCUGCCUUCUUUUUUGGUCUUGCGUUUCUGCUUCAGAAUGGAUUUUUGGUACAAGUCCAUUUUAUCGCGAGCAGUAUAGCACUAUUCCUGCCCUUGAAUUCGGGUUGCUUGAGGUAACCCCUUUCAAUGAUUAAGUUGAUUCUUUUUUCCUUGGCCUCUUUCCCUUCACAAACACGGACUGUGCACUGAAAAUGAGCUGGAGGGUGACAUUAAGGGGCCCUGGAUACCAUGGGAGCUUAGGGAGCUUGUCCUAGAACUGGAAAUGCCUGAGCUGGGUUCUCAGCUCAAUGGGAGACAGGAGACGGGAGAGGGAGGAGAGCUGCCACAAGGGGGAGAAGGGGCCCAGGAGGCAGGGGACAGCGUGGGAUUGUCACACAGUAAAGAGUGAAGGGAGAGCUAAGAGACACUGGAGCACAAGGCCCUGCAGGCCUUCUACAGUUUUCCGUCAUGAAUUUAUUGUUCUUCUUAGCUUGCACACCUGUCUUCUUUUAUAAAACUGGAUGCCCCUUGAAAGCAAGGGCUUCGGGAGUGCCUGGGUGGCUCAGUCGGUUAAACGUCUGACGGUUUGUGAGUUCAAGCCUGGCAUCCGGAUCAGUGCUGGGAGCCUGGAACCUGCUUGGGAGUCUGUGUCUCCCUCUCUCUCUGCCCCUCCCCCGCUUUUGCUCUGUCUCUGUCUCUCAAAAAUAAAUAUUUUUUAAAAAUUUAAAAAAAGAAAAAGGAAGAAGGCAAGGGCUGUGCUUGGGCUUCCCCCUGCCCCCCCGAAACAUGAGAAGAAUUCACUGGAGUUAAGUUAAAGCAACAGGGUGAAGAGAUCAGAUCAGAAGUUUACAUAAAUCCUGAAGAGGAGGGAAGAUUAUCCAUAUCACCUAUCCAGAAUAAGUUCAUCAUUCGGAAAUUAAGACAUCCAGGUUACUAAUACGCCUUUUACAGAGUUUCAAAUUGAUCUAAAACAAUAUUAUAUUGAAUGGGUUAAAUGUUACACGGUUGUUUCCAAUUCAAAUUAUUAUAAUGAAUUUCUUUCUGUGCACGCAUGAGCACACACACACACACACAGAGGAACCUGCUGUUAAAGCAGCGGAGAGACGGGUGGGUGGCAGAGGGAGGGGACAGCAAGUAUAGAACACCCAGCUUUGGGCUGUGAAGGAGAAGGAAGUCUCCAGCUGGAGGAGAGGGAGUGUGUCAGGUGGACAGUUAACGUUCCAACGAGAGAUGAGUAACCAAGUUCACGGGCCGUGGGUAAGAAGCAGGGAGAGAGAUGGCACUUGCCGCUGUGGAGAGAGCGCAUGGGGCUCAGACCUGGAGAAGAUGUCUAUGCCCCUCCUCGGACUGAGCGUGCCCACCUACAGCUGGGCAUCUUGCGAGAACACGGAUUCUGAGUAAGUCAGUCGGGCGGGGCCUGAGGUUCUGCUUUUCUAACAAGACCCCCGGAUGAUUCAUAAAGUUUGAGAUGGGCAGAGCUAGAGCCGAGUCCUAAACCCAGCAGACUCUGCAUCACCCAGGAGCUUGUUAGAAACGCAGACCAGGGCGCCGGGGUGGCUCAGUUGGUUAAGCUUCCUUCCGACUCUUGGUUUCAGCUCAGGUCAUGAUCUCACGGGUCUGUGAGACAGAGCCCCGAGUUGGGCUCCAUGCUCAUAGUUUGGAGCCUGCUUGGGAUUCUCUCCCUCUCCCCUUGCCCCUCGCUCCCCCACCCCCCACAAGCAUCAGCGUGUCCAGUGCACAUGAGCUUCUCUCUCUCUCUCUCAAAAUAAAUACAUAAACUGAAAAAAAAAGAAAUUAAAACAUGUAGACCUCCUGAAUGAGUCCACAGCUUGACAAGACCUCCAAGAGAUUCCCAGGCACAUUCAAGUUUGAGAAGCUCUGCUCCAGGAAACGUGACAGCGGUCACAGUGGUGUCUCCUGAACAAGACAGACGAUGGGAAAUAGUUGAUGGGAGAAUUCAAAGAGCAAGCCAGCAAAGGAUGUGUAAAAGGUUUGACAGGGGGCUGCUUCCAAAAGCCCAGGAGAGGUCACAGAUGAUCUCCAGUGUUACCCAAGUACUUUGGAUAUGGAUACACUGAGUGAAGUUCCUCGCCCGGGUUGAUAUAUUUGGGCAAAACUCUUUCUGUUAUGUAGUUUGCAAUGCUUUUAGUCAAGGGUCUUCAUGUUAAAAAAAAGAAAGAAGAAAAGAGACUAAAGUGGCUGAGUAGCUCAGUGGGUUAAAUGUUUGACUCUUGAUUUCAGCUCAGGUCAUGAUCUCAUGGUUCAUGAGUUUGAGCCCCGAGUUGGGCUCUGCACUGACAGCCUACUUGGGAUUCUCUCUCUCCCUCUCUCUCUCUCUCUCUCUCUCUCUCUCUGCCCCUCCUUCACUUGUGCUCUCUCUCUCUCUCAAAAUAAGUAAGUAAACUUUAAAAAAAAAAAAAGAAUAUUGCUUUUGCUCCUUUGUUUUAGCUUAUCGAUUAACUCAUAAAACAUUUUCUCAAUGUCUGUGAUGGAGUCUAUAUGACUCAGGUUCUCAAAAGAAAAAAACCAAUAGAAUGUGUGUGUGUGUGUGCACGCGCACGUGUGGAUAGAGAAAGAGAUUUAUUUUAAGGAAUUGGCUCACAGAGCUGUGCAGCCUAACAAGUCCAAAAUCUGCAAAGGAAGCUGGCAGGUGGGUGGCCCAGGGCAGAGCCCAUGUUGCCAUUCAAGUUUGAAGGCCACCUGUGCAGACCCCUCUCUUGCUCAAGGGAGGUCAGUCUUUUGUUCCACUCAGGACUUCCACUGAUGGGAGAGCCCCACUGACAUUGUAGAGGGCAUUCUGCUUUACUUAAAGUCCACCGAUUUCAAUGUUGGUCUCAUCAAAAAUACUUAACUAGAAAUAUCCAGAAUAAUGUUCAGACCAAAUAUCUGGACACCAUGGCCCAGCCAAAUUGACACAUAAAAUUAGCCCUCACUGACCUAGAUCUUUCUGACGUCUACUUAAUUCAUAUCUGUCACUCAGAGGGGGUGUUGUUAAGCGGUCGAGAAUGAUAGCUAUCACUUUAUUGAAAGAUCCAGAAAAGAAAAUUCUAUAAUGUUCUCGAUUUUAUUAAGACAGUCCAACCUAAGGGAGCAGAUUCUAAACUCUGCUUCUAAUGUGCCACUCAACAAACUUACUGACAUUUUAUUCACAUAGAGCCAGAGCAGCGAUUUCAGACUGUUGAUUCUAUCAAAACCUUGUCAGUCCAGUGUGGACGUCACCUCCCUCCUGGGCCAGCUCUGCUGUCCCUGAUUCUUGUGUUUUCCUCUCCUCUGAACUCUGAAGAGGUUAAGUGGGCCAGGCCAGUCAUUGGGUAAUUACUAAUGCUCCACACUGUCAGUCCUUUCAAGUGUAUUCAAGUAGUGAAUAUCAAGUGUGAACACUCCUUUUAAAUCUGUUAUACCAGCAUUUACCCAUCCAAAUGAAUGUUCUCUUCUUCAAAGUAAUAAUUCAUUCUAAUGACACUGCCAUUGCUUAAAGCAUUUUUGAAAUUCUUUAGAAACUCCCUUCAGAACUAGAUGCAAUAUUCUUUUGAAUUUCUUAAAUAGGGGCAUAACUUGGCUCUUUGAAGAUAGAUUGGGAUUUGAAACAGUAAAAAGACAUCCACAUUUGAGCUGAUAAUUAAGGUAGGCAAUCAAGUUGGGCAAUAUUAUCCUUUAGCCAAAAAUCAACUAUAACCAUGAGGUAAUGAGAAAAAAAACCUCCCUCCUUCUGUAGAUAAUGUCUGGAUUUGCAUUCUUGUUGGAAUAAAUUAAUAGCCUCCAAGGUGACUCUUGUUCUGAGAGCUUCAACAAAUCAAUCACUUGGAUAAAUCAAUCCUCACAUAUUUAUUUUAAAACUCGAUUUUACAGUUUUAUGUCAUUAGUUUCACUCCGGAAACUGGAUUCUAAGUGUUUUAGACAUUCCCUUUUUUGAACGUCUCUCAUAGCACUCAUUUUAUUAUUCUUCUUAGUUUGCACACCUAUCUUUUUAAAAAAAUUUUUGUUUUUUUAAUUUUAUUUUUGAGAGAGAGAGAGAGAGGGAGGGAGGGAGGGGCAGAGAGAGGGAGACACAGAAUCCGAACCAGGCUGCAGGCUCUGAGCUGUCAGCACAGAGCCUGAUGAGGGGCUCUAACCCAUGAACUGUGAGAUCAUGACCUGAGCCGAAGUCAGACGUUUAAUCCACUGAGCCACCCAAGCGCCCCACACACCUGUCUUCUUUUAUAAGACUGGACGCUCCUUGAAAGCAAGGGCUGAACUUUAUAUACCAGCACCCACCUCAGUGCACCGCAGAGUAGGCACUCGAUCAUAUGUGUUGCAUGCAUGAACUGAAUGAAUGGAUGACUGAAUGAAUGGAUGAAUUGCUUAGGUCGUUGUUGCCCUAUAGACUAGGAUCGAUCUUAAACUGUUAAAAUAUCUGAAUAAGGCUGCACUUAUACCCAGAUUGAAGCCUCUUUUGCCCAGAAAGAUCUGUUCCAAUACACUUUUCACCAAUUUAAAGGCUGCCCGACAUUACUUCGUUGUGACAUUUGCUAAUAAAUACAUUAGCACAGUGUAUAUCCCCUUAGAAGCAGUUCAUGAAACUUUGCUGAGCGAAUAAGGACCGAGUGAAUGCAUCCAAUAAAAACCGCUUUUAAUUCAAUGAAAACACUGUUUUUAAUUAUAAAAGAAAUCUUCCAGAUUUCUAGUCCAUUCCUGGAGUGAUUACUGAUGGUUUUUCUCAAUUCAGCUACUUUAAAAAAAAAAUCUUUGUCAAUUUUUGUGAAUAGAGUUUCUAUUUCCUUCAGGAAACAUUUAAUACUUGAGAUCUGCCUAAGGUUUGUUUGCACUGACACUUAUUUUACUGUGAACACUCUUCAUCUUGUACUGAGUUGAAUAACAAAUGUUUAGCCUCUUCUGUUAUUAAGGAACAUUUUUUCUUUUCUGGAAGAUCGGUUAUCAAAUUGUUUCUAUUCUCCAAAUACUUCAUAGACCUGUUCCUCAAAAAGCUCUUCUUGAGAAAGUAGCUGUGAAAACCACAAUUCUUAUUGUAAUUUGGUAAGUUACAAGGCAAAUCUACCACCUGCAAAGCAUGAUGGAAAUAUCACACACACACACACACACACACACACACACACACGGUCACAAAUUUAAUCGAUUCCAUGUUGAAUGCUAAGAAAAGUUUUAAUUGUACAGAGUACCCAACAUAUCAAAUAUAAAUGAAGGGACAAUCAGGAGCGCUAUCAAAAUGUAUAAUACAGGAAGUUGUUUAAAAAGAAUAGAAAAAUUAUACUAAGGACCCAUAAAUCUUCCUCUUUAUAAGCAUAUGUAGCGAUUCCUUCAAUGCAGGUUUUAUAUGUAAAUAGGAAUUUUUUUCUUUUUGAAGAACUCCAUUGUAGCUAUGAGAUGAAAAAUGUACUGAUGUAACAACGUAUUAUGGUAAUGUUAUAGCUUCCUUCUUUUUUGCUUUUAGUGUUAGGAUUGCUAAAAGCUUAUUUAAAACACCCAACUGACAUAACCUGCUUUCACCAGAGGACACUGCCAAGUACGUUAUCCUUCCCCCGUCACUAUUUGGUUCCCCGUUAUCCGGCCUCUUUCUACACAGGUCAUUUUGAUGAGAGAGAGAGGCCAAGGGAGCUCAAGUUUCAGGCAGCGGGUGGCAGGUUACCGUCCUCUCGACCUGGCCAAUCCUCCAGUGACCCCUCCCCAGAAUGUUUCUCCUAAGGAUGGGAAACAUACUUGUCUUCCAGUGAAAGGUGUCCUAGGCUUUUUGUCCAGCCACGUUUGCAAGAAAAUAGCACUGCUAACCAUCCACUUGCUGGGGUUGGGUUCAGACAAGGAGGAGAUCCCGAGCAGAGGACCGCUGAUUUAUGCAGUAUCCACAGUCAACGCCCAAGUCAGACUGGCCCCUCAAAGGCUGCCUGGGGAGCUCCCAGGAUGCUGGGGUUCUAAGCAAAGCAUUCAGGGUGCUCCCUCUGCCUCUUUGGAGAAGUGUUCAAAGGGGAAGAUACCCCUCUGGGCCACUGGGCCAAAGCCCGCCCUUCCUGGAGUCAGCUGCAUCGGGCUGGCCAGGGCAUCCCCAGGGAAACGGAAGACAGGAGCCUCCCGAGGGAGCACAGGGACGGACAAGCAGGGGGAAGUGCCCGCCUCCCACCACCUCUUGCCUCCCCCCAGCCUUCUGUCUUGGCACAGGCCUGGCAGGUAGCAGGGACCACAAAGUGUUCAAUCAAUCAGAUAAAUUGAUUGGGUGUCUCUUCCGAUUCCAGAACACUUGGAAAUGGCAAUUCUGCCAGAAGAACCUCCGUCAGAGAUGAUCUGGGUGACAGACUGCAGUUGAAAACGUCAUCUAUUGAACCUGAGAAAAGUAACAAGGCACGUUAUUAUCGUCACUGGAAAAACAAAGCCAAAAACCCAACAGUGCCUUAAAACCCAUACAACAUACAAUGUAACCAUUUCAAUAAUUAGUAGAGAACCUUGACUUCCUCAGAAGAACUCAAAAACCCAAGCAGCUUUUUAUGGUUGUUUGUCUACCAGUAGGAUAUGGAUCAUUUGCUUUUCCAAGGGCCGGAGUAGAUGUGCAGAGUUUUCCCACUUGUGACAAAAGGCCCCCAGUUGGCGAAUAGAUGCCUAGGACAAAGGUCAGUUUUUGCAAAGGCGAGAAGGGGAUGGCACUAGGUUGAUUCACCAGGGCAGAGCCAGUAGAGGCCAGGCUGGCCUGCCUGCAGGGGGUUGCAGGCAGCUGAUGCAUCUCUGGCUGUGUGACCUGCGACCUGCGGUGCAUAAUGAUGGCUCAGGCCUCAGGCGGGGCUCCAAGAGUCCCUCCCCACAGCUCUGUCCUGGAAGUGGCCCCAGCUGGACUCCUAGUCAACUUGCAAGGAGGCACUGGCCAACUUCACAAGCCCCUUGGUGUCCCCUGGAUGGCAAUGGUCAUCCCAGGCAGCCGCACUCACGGGAGCCAAGGCCAGUGGGUGGGGCUGGAGAGAUGUCACAGGAGGGACCAGGCACCUGGGACUGCAGCCACCACUGGGCAAGUUAAUCCCUCCCCCCAAGAAUCCGUGUAUGAUCCCCCACAGGGCUGCAAUGGAGCGAAGCACAAAGUGAUUUUGUAAGGAACACCCAGAUAGAGAAAGCUAAAGCAAUGUGGAGGGAGGGAGGGAGUUAGGGGGAGAAAGAGAGGGAAAGGGAGAAAGGUGGGGGAGGAGAAAGGGAGGAGGAAGAGGGAGAGAGAGAUCAGGGCUGGGGGAAGCAAGGAAAGAGGAAGGAGGAGGAGGAGAGUGAGAGACAGAGAGAGAGAGAGAACGUGCGUGCGUGCACACACACACACACACAAACACACGCACACACGGGAGGGGAGGGGCUAUCUCCAAGACAAGAAAUCCUCAGAAGUAAGCAUUUUUGCUAUAAACAUCGGAAGAAAGCAACCCUCGUUAAACAUAAUUGAGACUCUUGUUUUUUUAUAUCUGAGUAUUUUUUAACCUGCAGGUUCAUAGAGAUUGGUGUUUUUUCGUGUGUUUGUGUUCGGGCUCUUUCUUCUUGCAAUUAGCAGCAAGAGUCCUGGUUCGAGGAAGUUGCCUUCGGGCCCAGACUCACGUGGGACAGGAGAAUGGGCUCAGCGGAAGACAAACCCAGACGAGACUGGACGGAUGUCCUCUGCCUAAGCCACAACCAGACUGAAAAGUCGCACCAGCUCCUGAGGGGGAAGCACUGGAUACUAGGAUCUAGAGUAAAAUCUGGUAGGCGAAGCCUUCUCCAAAGCUAUUCUUUCGUGGUCUUACAAACCCUUUCAAAAGUUUUUAAAGCUACAUAUCGCCCACGGUUAGUCUUCCCCCAGCUGCUCCUGGUUGUUAACAUUCUGUUGCCUUGAAUAUGCACAUCAGGAAAGCAUCACGCUUUCAUAACAGUUAAAUUGUUGUUAAUAUUUAAAUGAGCAGUAAGAUGGACUUACAUGAACAAUGUAUUUAAAAAUUGUAUUCUGGGGGCGCCUGGGUGGCUCAGUCGGUUGAGCGUCCGACUUCGGCUCAGGUCAUGAUCCCGUGGUCCGUGAGUUCAAGCCCCGCGUCGGGCUCCGUGCUGACGGCUCAGAGCCUGGAGCCUGUUUUAGAUUCUGUGUCUCCCUCUCUCUCUGACCCUCCCCCGUUCAUGCUCUGUCUCUCUCUGUCUCAAAAAUAAAUAAACGUUAAAAAAAAAUUUUUUUUUAAAUAAAAAUUGUAUUCUGGACAUGCUGCACACUAUAACUGCUACGUCAGAAAACGUUAAGGAGCCUAAGAAGAGCCACCGCAUUUUUUUCUUGGUAGUAAACAUUUCUCACUUCUUACUUUCUGAAGUCCGUGAUGUUAUAUUUCCCUUUUAUCAAGAGGCCGUUUUCUUUCUUCCUUUUUUUAAAUGUUUAUUUAUCUUUUGAGAGAGAGAGAGAGACAGAGACAAUGCACAAGGGAGAAGGGGCAGAGAGGGAGACACAGAAUUCAAAGCAGGCUCCAGGCUCCGAGCUGUCAGCACAGAGCCCAACGCGGGGCUCGAACCCACGAACCAGGAGAUCAUGACCUGAGCUGAAGUCCAACUAUUAACCGACUCAGCUGCCCAAGAGCCCCGAGGCCUUUUUUUUUUUUCAAUUAAUUGUCCACUCCCGUGAUAUUAUUCUACCCUCUUAUUUAGCUUCCUCAGGUACUUGAGAAUUUGUAACAUACCUCUGGAAGUUACACUGAAUUUUCGGUCAGAGAAACUGCUCCUUCGGAUUAAAGGUUCACUCAUUUUUUCCAGAAAUAAUUUAAUUGUCUCCUUCUUUUCUGGACUUGUGCUUGACAAAUUCAGAACUUUUCCUUCUACCUUUACAGUAGAAUUGCUGAGCCCAAACCAAUAGAAGAAAUCAAAUAAUGCAUCAGCUUUGAAUUCAUACGCAAAGCUCAAAUGUUCUCCAUUAACCACCUUGUUUCCUGGAGGGAAAAAAUUUUGUACCGCCUCUUGAAAAUCAAACUGAAAGAGAGAGAGAAGCGUUUAAUUAAUGUCAUGGCUAUAAUGUUAUAUUACAGAACCAUAUAUUACUAUAGAAUUCUAUUAUUGAACUAACGACUGCCCAAAUAUCCAAAGUAUCACCUAUCUUCUUUCUUUUUCAUUCUGACAUAUUUUUCAACUGUUGACUUUUGUUUUUGAAAACAGACCUUUGCACUUAUACCUUAUCCAUCUGAAGCCCUUGAACCGCUUGGUCACAUUGACCUUUACUGUUACCCCGUUUCUAAUCGGUUGCUCGAAACCAAGCUCAUUUUAUUGGUAGUGAUAAUGAAACCACAGAAAACGUAUGGGUCUGGUUAUAACGCAGCUCUAGGGACUCAGCCUCGCAUGAAAUGCCACCGACCCCUCUCUAUGUGGUUAGCAGCCCUGGAAUCCGACUGACGCAAGCUUACCUGAAGCCGGUAGCUUUCCCCGAUCACUGAGGAAAUGACCAUGUCCAUUCCAUGCUCUAUCUGUCUUCUUAUCUUGGGGUGCCUUGUGUUCACGAGAAACGCGUACGUUCUUUCUGGGAAUUAGGAGGCACGAUUCAGACUGAGGUGCGCACGUGCGACAUCAACAUACUUCUCAGCAUUUGAUAAAGCAGAGACUCCCACCUUAUUUGGAGAUUUUAUUCAUUUUUGGCCUCCUCUGCAGCUCCCUCAGACCCUCACUGUAAGGCCUAACCAGAUUUCUAGAAAUGUUAUUCCUGAGAACCUUGGGGAUGCAAAGGAAGCUCUGGGUAACCGUAAAAGCCAGUUAGAAAAAUCAGCUCCAAGUCUACUCUGUCACUCUUGUCUCAAAAAAAUAAAAAAUACAAAAAAUAAGUCCCCUUCCCCGAUUAUCACAGAUGAGAACUGACUCCCACUGUGUGCAUCCGGCAUGGGGAGCUCACGUCACUAGGAAGAAAAUCCCUCCCACUGUUUAAAUAAUACGAUGUCUCUGCCCCCGGCAGGUGUAUCCUUGGUGGUGUGGUGCUGGUUUGUUUUGGGGUUCUUUCUUUCUUUCUUUCUUUCUUUCUUUCUUUCUUUCUUUCUUUCUUUCCUUAUGUCCACUUCUGCCCAAUCCUACACAAUCUAAGCAAAGAGAAAGUUGUUUCUUCAUUAGGAAAUUUGAAAUAUUAUGAACCAACGAUCUCGUAACUUUUCCAGUCCCCAGAAUCAAGCUCCUCGGCCUUAACAGUCAAGUGUUGUUUUCUAGACAGACACGUUACAUGGAUUCCCACUCUCUGUUCAAGGCCACGGACCAGCCAUUAUGUGAGUUUGAGAACUGAGUAUUUUGCAUUGGCUUUGGGAGUCAAACCUACGGUCCCUCAAUAAUUAGUCUUACAUCCCUCAGGAAUAUCAUUUGCGCUAACUUUUGCACUGAUUUUGUUCAUCUUAUUUUUUUUUUUACCCCUGUUUCCUUUCUCCCAAAUUGCCAUCUUGGGGGGCACUUUAAAUACAAAUGACCUUAUAUCCUCUUUGAGACAAGAGAUAAAGAAAGCAAGCAAGCUAUUUGAGACCUUGAACUAACUUUCACACAAACCAAACUAAGAUCUUUAGGUUCGUUAGAUGCUAAGGGCUACCGCACUCCACAGUCGUGCUGGCCUGGCAGGUUGCGCACUGCACAACUCUAGAGGGUGCCAUUCACAUUCAUAGACAUUGUCUAUUUGUACAGUUAUUAUGACAAACUUCUGGAAAGGAUUAGUAAAUGAUGUUGAGUUACUGGUGGCUUUUUCUAGUUUGCACAAAAGUGCAGCUUAGCACCAAGGUUAGACGUGUUACCUUACUUAUAACUUUCAUAAUUUAAACUUGACCAUCUCAAGCUUCUGUAUCACAGAAGCUCUUUUUUUCAUGGCUUUCCUUACAAUCGCACAGCACUGGGUUUCUGUACCUCCUUCCGGGAUAGUUGUCACACAACCGUAUACCUUUUACAGGCCACCCGCAAAUCCACAAACAUUUCCUGCACCACUCCCUGCUACUUUCAUUAGAAUGUAAAAAUGGAGAGGUCUCUUAUUCUUUCUUAAGAUUCCUCCUGAGAGAUCGACGCAGGAGGUGUACUUGAUAGGUCUGUGAAUUACAUUCCCCGAGAACUCUCCAGCUUUCUGGUCAUCAUCAAGCCAAAUAACAUCAGGGGCUCAGAUGCUCUAACAAGCGCUACUUGCUACCUUGUGUUCCGUUCCCAGCCCCUCCUGCCGAGAGAGCAUUGUGGCUGAAUUGUCAAGUGAGCGGAGAAUCUGAAUGAUUCCGAAGGAAAUGAACAGAGCAGCAGCUCUACGAAUCUGAAUGAGAAUGAAUGUUUGAGAGAGUCUAUUUGGAAUUUGCAGAUCACUUCUUAUUACUUUGGGCUCAUUUUAAGAACGCUAUUGAGAAGCAGGAUUAAGAAAUUCUGCCUCUAUCACCGAGCAUUAUGCCCAUGGCUUUCCCCACAGAACACUGUGCAGGAAGCAGGGAAGAUGGAGAUAUUUUCCUAUCGGAACGGGAAGUUAAUGGAGUUGUUAUCAGUAAAUCUGAUUUCUUGGAAGAAACGGUAAAGAGAUAUCCCUCCAGUCGAGAUUUGAAGGCCACAGCAUGAAACAUAAAAGCCUCUACAACAGCUCUUUAUCUUAGUUUUCUUAUCUGUUAAGUGGGUAUAAGCACCUUAUAGGUAGGAUGACUAUACAUCCUAGUCCCCCUGGGUUAGACCUUAGUCCCAGCAUAAUUAUUAACAGGACAUACUUUCAUGCUCGAAAAGGUUCCCGUUUGCAUGAAAGUCGUAUGGGGCUGUUGCGUCCAUCAAGGACAUGAGCCUAUGCCUCACGCACGUGAGUGUCUGGAAUGUGGCAGACAGUAUUAUAUAUCAUCAGCAGCGUUCCAGUCAUUUUUGCAACCCUCGUAGACUCAGAACCUGAUAGCACUUCCUGCCUAGACAGGAAGUACAAGACAAAAGCCCAGAGACAGAUGGCUUCUGCCCUAGGAUCAUGUAGAGGUUCUGCAGGCUGGUGUUGUGCUUCAGAUGGUCUAACGCACCAGGCUCCUUGCCCCCAGCGUUGUCACAAGCUGACAUCUACCCUGCCUACUCCGUGCACAACUUGUACCUCAUUAGCAUGCCACAGUCCACAGCCCCAGGAAGCAGCAUCAAACCCAAAAUAUUUAUAUACCUACCUUUUGAGGUGUCUUUUUUGGUCUGUACAUUAACAAAGAACAGCAUUGGCUUGCUCAAUAUAGUUUCCCUGUAGUCUUUAUAAUCGCAGUAGUUGGUCAGUUCCACAUACCUACGAAAAAAGCAGAGAUAAUUGCGAACGUAAUAUACCCUUCCAUCUAGGUCAGGAAGGGGAUGUUCUGGACGGGCGCCGGCCACGUCCACAGAACUUGUGAGGGAAAUAGCCUAACGUGUGCCCUCUGGAGGCAGUUAUCUUUUGUACGAUAUAAAUAAAUCUCCUCCCUAGUCAGCUGAGACAUCAGGACACAACCUGAGGGCGGCCCUGGUCUUUGGCGUGGCCUGGCACCAAUCCUGGGCUCUCAGAGGCAGCCUUCGCUAUGUGAUGGCCAACACCAUCUAUCUUUUGGGCUCUUAAGAGUUCACUGGAAGCUAGAAGUGCUCUGUCUCUCCGGACUGAGAAUGAAUUACACCCAAUUAGUGGGAUAAGCUAGGGUGGGUCUGAAAUUUCCCUCUUCUCCUCCUCCUGUCUUGCCUUCUCUGAUCCCUAGAUCCCAGCCCCCCUAUAGAUUAUGCAAUCAACCAACAGUCAUAUGAACUAAUUCAUGUGUCCCUGAUCCUGAGCUUUGUGCAAUGAAGAAAAACAAAAAAAUACCACUAAUGUUGGACUUUUGCCCAUGACCCUAUUCAGACUAGCCUCUUUGAUUUUCAUUCAUUACCCCAGCCUGGGAAGUUCUUCUUCACACGUUGACUCUGUCAUCCAGGAUGUCAGCUUUCUCCCCCUAUUCUACAGAUUUUCCAGGUAGUUUCUAUGUUUCUACCUGUAUUGUUGAUCGAAAGACGGAUCAAAGUGCAAACUGGCUUCCCUCGAGACGAUGGCUAAUUUUCCAUCCAUACCUCAGCUCAGACGCCACAUGGGCACAGGCAGGCUGAAUGGCAUCCAACAGGCUGGAGGAUGUGUCUGCCACCGUCCCUCUUCAACACAGAACUGGUUCCCCAUUGACCGGCCCAGCUGUGUGCAUGUGCAUGGAAUGAAUGGCCGCCCUGGCUGACAGCACAGGCCGAUUUUGCUACGCUGUGAUGUGUUUGCUUCCUACAUCUAGUCGCUGGCAGAGACAGCUCGAGUGUUCUUUCUGGCUUGUUGUCCGUCCAGUGCCUGAUGUGAAAAUCACAGCCUUGGAGAGAGCCCCACUGCAGGGAGCUGUGACCACCCAGCCCUAUUAGCCUCCCGCCCCACCCCACUUCCCAUAACCCGCUUAGGGGGGCCAGCGCACGAGACCCAGACCUGGGCAUGGGUUGGGAACACGUGGGAGAAUAUCUACCCCCAAGGCAGAAAAACACAGCUUUGGCUUGUCUGUCUCCCAGCUUGGUUUCUUAGAAAUCUGUAUCAUUCUCUCUUUUCUGGGGAUUGUCAGACCUGAUUUCGAGAGCUUUUAAAACCUGACCCCUGAUGGAGUCUCUAAAA